This 9435-nucleotide long non-coding RNA is filed under the name Podarcis lilfordi (Lilford's wall lizard). Lineage: Eukaryota; Metazoa; Chordata; Lepidosauria; Squamata; Lacertidae. The record is from RNAcentral.
GGGCGGGGCCAGAUUCUCUUUCUCCAAUGCUAAGGAAAGGGAGCCAGCGAUUGACUGCAAUCAACCAAAACCUCCCGGGGAUCUACCAGUAGAUCGUGAUCGACCUGUUGGACAUCCCUCCUCUAGCAGAAUGGGCAAUAUGCUCCCAUCUAUAGACACAUAAGGAAGGGAGAAUCAGUCUAUAGAACUGGAUUUAGAAAAGAUUGUUGCAUAAGAAGCAAAAUAAAAGACACCAAGUAGACAGAAUUAUGUGUCCCAAGUGCUUCGGAAGUUCUGGUACACAAAACGAUGGCAAAAGGAGCCAAGAAAAGAAGGUCUUUCAAUUCUGAUUCCCAGAUGAUGGCUGGUUUCUGUGUGGAAACCAGAGUCCUAUGAAAGAGGUUGUUCCAAGCUUGUAUUAUGAGCUCAUCCACAUUCUACAAAUCAGAACAACACAAGGGGAAUAUAUCUGGCAGUAGUACGAAUGGAGGUGGCCAAUUUUGACAGAUGGCAGAAGAAUAUCUCAGAGCACCUGUAAACCUACACUCCAAGUUUGUAAAUCCCUUUGGGAAUGCAGCUGAUGUUAAUAGGUUUUUUACAUUUGGCAGUGUGAAAAAUGCUUUAAAGAAGCAAAAAGUGUAUAUGCCCUAUUGCUUGCGCUCUGAACAUUAGUGUAGUUAAAUGCCAUACAUUAAUCCGAUUGCAGUUUUUGAAGUUAAAUAAAUAGAUUUAAACAAAAAAUGCCCUGUAUGUACGGGUAAUGUAUGUGGUAUAAUUUUGUAUAUUUGCAAGAUGCCUUUUCUUUAAUUCAUAGAAAAGGAGGCCGAAUACCUUUGGUCAGUCUGGAGCAAAGUACAACUUGAUGCACUACAAUAACCAGAUUCAGGUAGGUAGCCAUGUUGGUCUGACGCAUUCAAAAUAUAUAAAAAAAUAAUUAAAAUGUCCAAUAGCACCUUAGAGACCAACUAAGUUUGUUCUUGGUAUAAGCUUUCGUGUGCAUGCACACUUUUCAAAUACAUUUUUUAUUUUUUUAUAUAAUGACCAGGAGACAUUGCAUUAAAAUACUGAUUAUAUCUACUUAAUAUGUACAGUUAGAACACAUAUGAUCACUGUGUUCUAAAAACUGGUUUAAACCUAGCGUCAAGACAGACUGGAAAGCUACAAUGUACCACUUAUGUUAGCAUCUGGCCUCUGAAAUAUAAUUUUCAUUCCAGUUGGGAUUGUAUUGCAUUCCAAAACCUACUACAUGAAAAUCCAAGAAUAGCCUUUUUAAAAUAAAACUCUUUUUAAAACUCUGGCCUUUAUUGAACAUUUGUUCCAAUUUGUUUGGGGGGCAGCGUUCAUCCUGAUUUGUGGGGUGUUUGUACAUCUUUCUGUUAAUCAUUCAUUCACCCUAAACUUCUCAGUACAUUUCCUUGUUGCUUUCCUAACCACAAAAUAUCCAUUGGUUGUUUUGUUUUUGUUUUUUAAAGUGGAUUUGUUGCACUAGGGCAUGGGUAGGCAAACUAAGGCCCAGGGGCCGGAUCCAGCCCAAUCACCUUUUAAAUCUGGCCCACAGACGGUCCAGGACGUGUUUUCACAUGACGUGUUUUCACAUGAGUAGAAUAUGUCCUUUUAUUUAAAAUGCAUCUCUGGGUUAUUUGUCGGGCACAGGAAUUCAUUUAUUUAUUUUUUCCAAAAUAUAGUCUGGCCCCCCACAAGGUCUGAGGGACAAUGGACCGGCCCCCUGCUGAAAAAGUUUGCUGACCCCUGCACUAGGGCAACAGAGAGCUCUUGCCCACUUCAAUUGCCACUCGGUUUCCACUAUGUGCUGGAAUUCCUCCCACAAAAUUGUGGCAGACUUCUAAAAUAGCAACCUUUCUGGCCGGGUUGAGAUCUGAUAAUAUACGUGGCACUGACCUCAGCGACUAAAGCUCGUAAGUACUGGUUGUCGAGCAUCAUCGUCUCCUCUUUGCCAGGAAGAACCCUGGCAUGAGGUAAAUAGUAGGAGUGAGGAAUUUGUCUGUCCUAAAGGAUCUGUUUCCCUUGCCCCUAAUCUUUCAGCAGAGAUGCCUCUCUCAAGGAGUUGCUUCCAUGCCUAAUGAAAGGAAACAGCUAUGCGACAUGCAUCACAGCGGAGGAAACGAUCAGGUGAUUUUGUUUCCAUUCCAAACUGAAGGGAGUUCCUCCAGGAGUCUGCGACAGGGAACCUGAAAAAGCACUUGCGGGCUUGAACACGUGCCAUAGACGACAUGGCCAGGGCCCAAGGCAAACUCGUCCGCUUUCAUGCUCUAGUGGGGCACUUGUGGUUCGCAGCGCACAGAAGGAAAUAACCAGCUGCUUUGGCCUUCUGAUGAACAGUUUGCCAAACAUUUAGGCAGGCAGCUGUGGGCGAUGCAGCAGACCACAGAGCAAACAAGACGAUGGAGUACAUUACUUGGGAUGGAAUUUGAAAAACUGUUUUAAGCCUGGCCCCUGGUAUGCUGGGUUUGAGCUAUAAAGCCUUAAUCGGCUCAGGAGCACAAUACCUCAAGGACCGCCUCUUUCCAUGUUAACCUACGUGGACCCUGAGAUCAUCUUCUGAGGCCCUUCUUUGUGUGCCGCCUCCUCCUUGAGAGGUCCAGAGGGUGACAACACGAGAACGGGGCCUUCUCUGCAGUGGCUCCCCAUCUGUGGAAUGCUCUCCCUAGGGAAGUUCGCCUGGCACCUUCAUUAUACACCUUUAGGCACCAGGCAAAAACAUUCCUUUUUAACCGGAAUUUUAGGUGAUUUGAUUGACAUCCUACGUUCUUUUAAAAUGUGGGAUUUUUUCUUGGGGAGGGGGAGGGGGAGUUAUAGGGUUGUUGUUUUUAUUUUGACUAUAUAUUUUGUGGUUUUAUAUUUUGAUUUUGUUCUGUGAACCGCCCUGAGACCUCCAGUAUAUAAAUUCAAUAAAUAAAUAAUACAGUGGUACCUAGGGUUACAGAAGCUUCAGGUUACAGACUCCGCUAACCCAGAGAUAGUACCUCGGGUUAAGAAGUUUGCUUCAGGAUGAGAACAGAAAUCGUGCAGCGGCGGCAGCAGGAGUCCCCAUUAGCUAAAGUGGUACCUCAGGUUAAGAACAGUUUCAGGUUAAGAACAGACCUCCAGAACGAAUUAAGUUCUUAACCCGAGGUACCACUGUAUUUACUUGGGACUAAACUAUCACACCACUUGAGUCUUCUUUCUGGACAAUCUUCUAACUCCAGAGAUGGGGCGAAUGAGUCAGUCUCCUCCCUGCCCCCCAGUUGUGCUUCAGUUUAGCUGCUGCUAAUAACCAUUCUCAAUUCUCACAAUUAUACAGUAACAGUUGGACAUGGACAUACACACAGUAAAUAGCAGGUCAGUAAUUAUAGCUAUGAUGGGCCAGUAAAUGCCUUUUGCCCCAGAUUUUAACUUGAAUGUUAUGAUUACAGUCAAAGCUGUACAGUACAGAAAACAAACAGCUGCAACACAGUCCAUCAUUCAGGUAUGCCAAAGGGGUUGUGUGUGUCCAGUGUUGAGUUUCAUAGGCUUUUAUUAACCCUCUCCCACAUAAAUGCAGUGAAAGGGUAACAGGGCUUUGUGAGCAGGGAGAGUCUGUGACAGAGAGAAGUCCAGAAUCGGAUUGGGAAGCUGAAGCAGAAGAGGAGGGAGGCCAAAAAGCAGAGAUAGAUCAGGCUUGUGAAGAGGCACAGGUGUCUCCCCCUUCUGCUGUGACAAGCAUCCCUUCCCCCUGGUCUCCCAGAACCAGAAGAGGCAUGAAGGGGGAUGAGCAAAGGCAGGCAUGCAGGUGCUAUCUCUGGCUGCUGGGGGAAAAUCUCUGAGAAGAGACAUAGGUGACAAUGGGGAGGCAGGGACCUUUAGUCUUAGCAACUGCUUCAUGGUUGCAAAACCUGACAGAGAUGAAUUACUAUGUUAUUUAGGCUUGACAGUCCUGUGUACAGUGCUUUUUUUCUGGGUGGACGCAUACCCCUAAACAUUUUGUGAAUCUAAGUUUGGCCUCAUUGAGGGGCAAUAUUUCAAUAUGAGUAGGAAAAUGAGAGUACAGUGGUGCCUCGCAAGACGAAAUUAAUCCGUUCCGCGAGAGUCUUCGUCUAGCGGUUUUUUCGUCUUGCGAAGCAAGCCCAUUGACGGAUUAGCGCUAUUAGCGCUAUUAGCGGUUUAGCGGCUAUUAAAGGCUUAAAGGCUUAGGGGAUUAGCUGCUAAAAGGCUAUUAAAGGCUAUUAAAGGCUUAGCAGAUUAGAUAAAGGGGGGGGAAAGCGAAAAAAAUAUAUCAAGACUCGCAAGACAUUUUCGUCUUGCGAAGCAAGCCCAUAGGGGAAUUCGUCCUGCGAAGCAACUCCAAAACGGAAAACCCUUUCGUCUAGCGGUUUUUCCGUCUUGCGAGGCAUUCGUCUUGCGGGGCACCACUGUACCCCUAAACCUUUUUUUAGGAGGGAAAAAAAAAGCACUGCCUGUGUAGAUCCUCUUUGGCUAAUAAAGAGUUAACUCCAUCUCAGUGUGAUUUAUUGCUGUUCACUGCUGUCAUUAUCCAUUAAGAAACAAGAAUUGAUAGCAAUGUUUAGGGCUUUUUUAAAGUUUCUUUUCUAUCUUUUUUUAGAAAGGCCUUCCUUCCCGAUGCUUCUUCCCAAUGCCCCUUUCUCAGCACCUCAAAAUACAUAUUUUUCAUCUAACAUCUGUUUCUUUUUCAUCCUCCACUGCAUGUAAAUAGCUGUGGGGGGAGAAACAGCCACUACAAAAUACCAGAUUUCCUUGGUAGGAUUUCAAAUUACAGGCAGUUGUGGGAUUGAAAGCUACUAAUCCAUGCCAAAAACAUGGUGUAAGGCUUAAAAAUGGCGGUAUUACCCAGCCAGAGCUGGACGUAUUUAGCUACUCAGAGGAUCUUUCAAAUGAGCAGAAUAUACAGAAAGUUAAGAAUGUUCAUUUUCAUUUAUUGCAAUUAUAUCCCACCCAUCCUUCAAGGAGCUCAAGGUGGAGUGAUUUCCCCCUCUCCUCAUUUUAUCCAGACAACUUUGUGAGGUAAAUUAGGCUGCGAGUGAGUGACUGGUCCAAGGACGUCAAGUGCAUGUGAUGGCUGAGCAGAGAUGUGAACCCUGAUCUCCCAGGUCCCAUACCUUCCAAGUGUCCCGAUUUUCCAGAGACAGUCCCAGAAUUACAAAAACUGUCCCAGCUUCUGAUUUGAUCCUGGUAUGUCCCUGUUAGUUUCUGUUCUUAUCACUGUGCAGCUGCGUGGAGUCACAGGACUCUGUUUACAUUCCUGGGAUUCCAUACUAUUGGAGUCUCACGGGAAAGAAGACGGGAUGUGACGUUAGUGGUUUCCUGUUUCCUUUGUUCCAUUGCUCUCUGCUUUCAUAGAGAGAGGAUGUCUUUUCUGUUCUGCGUAGUUUAGAAAUAAAACUCUUUACAGUGUAGCUCAUACUGUCUCAUCCUUCCUUGUGCUGGGAACUCUGCUGGGAGGACGUGACUUGGAGCCUCAUCAAAGGCUCAAGGUCGUUAAACAAGUCAGGAGGCAAUUCCAAAGAAAAGCUUUAUCAGCUCGGUCAAACGGAGUUCCGACAGUCCCUAUUUCUCCUGCCACUGCUGCCACUGCCAAGCUCGGGGAGGAGGUUGAGCCGGCGCUUCUCCCAAGCAGCGGUGGUGAGAGAGCAUCCCAUUGCCUCUCCAAGACCGCUGUUGCCAGCUUCCUCCCUUAGGCAGCUUGUAGUAGAUGCUGGACAGCAGGUGAGGAGGAGCCACCACCAUCGAGGCCCAGCCCGACAAGAUGCACUGGCUCUGAGGGGCAAGCAGAGGGCCAGGGCUGCCCUGGGCAGGCAGGGGAGAAGGGCACAAGGAGUCUUGAUUUGAAGGGGGGAAAUGAUUUGUGCAUUCACGUCUAAUCUUGGCCCUUUGUAAACUUUAUUUAUUGUUUUGUGACAUCUGAAGGCAGCCCUGUUUAGGGAAGUUUUGAAUGACUGAUGUUUUAAUGUAUUUUUAAUCUUUUGUGGAAGUCGCCCAGAGUGGCUGGGGAAACCUAGCCAGAUGGGCGGAGUAGAAAUAAUACAUUAUUAUUAUUAUUAUUAUUAUUAUUAUUAUGCUUUUCUUUUUGUAAAUCUACCAAAGAACAAAAUAAAAUCGAGAUUAAGGGGCUUUCUCAGGGUGGUGAAGAGUGUGUGUGUGUGUGUGUGUGUGUGUGUGUGUGUGUUGUGUCUCGUUGGUGUUGUGGUGCUGGCACUCACCAUUUUUCUGACAGGAAAUAAUCUGAGGGGGACAAAAAUGAGUGGUCAAGGAUGGUCAUUUGGCGGGGGGAGUGAGAAAUGUCCCUAUUUCCAUCUGAGGAAUGUUGGAGGGUAUGAGGUCCUAGUCCUAUACUCCAGCCACUCUAACAUACUGGUCUAUGGCAACACACCCAAAAUUCCAGAGACAAAUGCUUAAAGCUCCUUCAUUCCACCAGAGUAGACACACAACAGGAGAGCUCCCCUUCUGUCGAUGAUAGAACUUACCAACUUUAUAAUUACAGCCGCAAAACAUAAAGGAAUCAUUGGCAGAACUGCAAAACAUGAUAAAAGGACAAAACUAUCCCAUUUUGGAGGAGAGGCAAGGAGGCGACGUAUGACUUUAUCAAAGAUUCUCCCAGCCUACUGAUAAAGGUAAUUCAACCUUCAGGUGUGAGUACUUUCAUUAGGAAGGUGGCAUAAUUUCUUCACUUUGGAGGAAGUUUUCCAAAUUAUUUGGGAGAUAGUGUGCAAGCACAGGAACGAGAUAAGAACUGAAAUUCCCAAAGUCACUGCUUGCUCCUGUUAUUUAAAUACUGUUACACUUGCCAGGACAAUUUUAGUUUAGCCAUUUCAUUCAGUGUUUCUCGGCUAGGUCUGGUGGGUAUCGGUGGGUUCUGUGAAAGGAAACAGCAUGGGACCUAAUUGGGAAUAGCAGCUAAAAUUGUUUCGUUGAACUCAACCCAGAAUUGAAAUUAAACUAAACUCUGUCCUCUUCCAAACACUCCAACCGCACCCUUUCUUUCGUCUCGCCCCCCUCCCGAUCCUUUUUAUGUCUUUAACUGCAAUUCCCAAAAUAUAAUUCACCUACCACAAUACCACAUCUUAGUAACUGACAUUUUACAUACAUUUUUUCUUUUCUUUUACUAUUUUACAUAACAGAUACCGAUAAAUAGUUGAGACAUAAUUCUAACAAACUCAUGUUGAAACGUGUUUGGUAUGCUUAUCUUUGUAUUUUGUUUCGAUUGUGAAAUAGUACAAGAAUCAAGUUUUAUUUACUUUUAUGCAUAUUACUAGUUAUUUCUGUCCAUCUUCUUUGCCAUGUAAGCAGUAACCCAGACUUUAAUUCAUAAAUCUAUUCUACUCCAUUCCUGUAUUAAUAUGUGAAUUCUUUUUAAAAAAUUAAACUCAAAAUUAAUUAUCACCAAAUAGGUAUAUAAUUAUGUAUUUUAUCCUAAAAUAUAUACCGGUACUUUUAAAUACAUAUUUCAUUUAUUUAUUUUUGAGCUGAAAACUAUCGCAAAAUUUGGAGAUGUAUGAAAUCCAAGGGAUAUGAACAUUCUGUUCUUUGUAGUAGUCCCAGGGGAACAAAUUAGGCCAGUUCUGUGAAAAAUGUGGAUCAAAUAAAAUUCUUCUCCAUCCCAACUAUUACUGAUAUGAUGCUAUCGAAAGCCUGUAUAUGUUUGGUAUUUAGGAAAAAAAUCAGCUUUGCUUUUAAAUGCAAGUUUGGGGGCAUAUAAAAAUAGGCGUGGUAGAUUUCAGGAGAACUUCAAAGUUUAAUCACAUAUUAACGUAUUAAUCCUUCCCUGAGGGUAACAUACUUUAAAGUUUGGGGUUUUUUUCAUACUCAACAAUGCAGGCAGUUCCUAGGGAAGGUAAAUAAUCAUCAGUUAAAUUCUUAAUAAGAUGUGAUGUUGGGAAUCACCAACGGUCUGUGCAAACUUAUAGGUCCUGACAUAAAUAUGAAAUUGCUUCUCAUUUCCCUAGGGAGGAGAAGGGGUCAACAAGGGUUUCAAGCAUCUGUUAUAUAGAGCACAUUGCGCGUACACACACACACACACACACCAUAAUGAUCACUGUGAGACACCUUCAAAGUUUCAUAACUAUGAUCUGUCUAAAAUAAUGUGAUAAAGUGUCAAUCUUUACAGAAAUGGGGGAGUUCUGAGGAAUCUAAACCCAUCAAGCCCAACACACUUCCACCAAGUAUCUCCCAUAAUUUGAAUUACAGUGCAUUUAUUGGAACAUGGAAGACCAUGGUUAAAUCCUUAACCUCCAGAAAAGCAUGCAACUAGUGGCCUCAGUGUAGUUGAGGGGAGUGUAACAUGCAAACUAAUACCAGUGUACUAGAAGAAGCAAAGAUCACCAGUGCCAAAGCAAUGAUUCUUCACUUCGUUGGACUGGUCAUGUUGUGCGGAUGCCUGGUUAUCUUCUUCCAAAGCAACUACUCUAUUCCGAACUUAAAAAUGGAAAGCGUAAUGCUGGUGGUCAACAAAAGAGGUUUAAAGACUGUCUUAAGGCAAAUCUUUAAAAAUGUAGUAUAAAAAGGUAAAGGGACCCCUGACCAUUAGGUCCAGUCGUGACCGACUCUGGGGUUGCGGCACUCAUCUCGCUUUAUUGGCCGAGGGAGCUGGCGUACAGCUUCCGGGUCAUGUGGCCAGCAUGACUAAGCCGCUUCUGGCGAACCAGAGCAGCGCACAGAAACGCCGUUUACCUUCCCGCCAGAGCAGUACCUAUUUAUCUACUUGCACUUUAACGUGCUUUCAAACUGCUAGGUUGGCAGGAGCAGGGACCAAGCAACGGGAGCUUACCCCAUCGCAGGGAUUCAAACUGCUGACGUUCUGAUCGGCAAGUCCUAGGCUCUGUGGUUUAACCCACAGCGCCACCUGCAAUUGGGAAACACUUGCCUGCAAGCGCUCCAAUUGGAGAACAGCCUUUACCAAAGGUGUCAUGGGCUUUGAAGACACUCAAACUCAGGAUGCAAGGGAGAAACGUGCUAAGAGGAAGGCACGCUUGGCAAAUCCACACCAUGAUCAACUCCUGCCCAGAAACCAAUGUCCCCACUGUGGAAGGAUGUGUGGAUCCAGAACUGGCCUCCACGGCCACUUACAGACCCAUUGCUAAAACCGUGUUUCUGGAAGACAAUCUUACUCGGCUUCAAGUGAUCGCCAAAGAACAUGUUUCAGCCUCAGGGCAUCAUUCCUUUUUGGGCAACCAGGGGUAGGCAGGACCUGAAGCAGAAGUGGGCUAGUUUCACCACAUACACACACCUUCUUUAAAUGUUUUCAGAGGGAGAACUGUGAGAGGAGGAAGACUGUUGUCCAGGAAGCAAUGGCUUUUCCCACCUGCCUUGCCUUACCCCUCCAGCCCUAGGAGCCUUCGUAAAGGAGCUGUUUGCAGAGGAAGAACUGUGAGAGGAGAGAGACUCUGUUUGCCAUGAGGCAGUUGUCGAUUUACCUGGGCUACCCCACCUCCAUCCUGAGGAACCUUCAAAAAAAAAUUGCUGCUG